ACUCAAAGGAAUUGACGGGGGCCCGCACAAGCGGCGGAGCAUGUGGCUUAAUUCGACGCAACGCGAAGAACCUUACCAAGGCUUGACAUACGCCGGAAAACUCUGGAGACAGGGUCCCCCUUUGUGGUCGGUGUACAGGUGGUGCAUGGCUGUCGUCAGCUCGUGUCGUGAGAUGUUGGGUUAAGUCCCGCAACGAGCGCAACCCUUGUCCCGUGUUGCCAGCAACGUCUUCGGAUGGUUGGGGACUCACGGGAGACUGCCGGGGUCAACUCGGAGGAAGGUGGGGACGACGUCAAGUCAUCAUGCCCCUUAUGUCUUGGGCUGCACACGUGCUACAAUGGCCGGUACAAUGAGAGGCGAGACCGUGAGGUGGAGCGAAUCUCAAAAAGCCGGUCUCAGUUCGGAUUGGGGUCUGCAACUCGACCCCAUGAAGUCGGAGUCGCUAGUAAUCGCAGAUCAGCAGUGCUGCGGUGAAUACGUUCCCGGGCCUUGCACACACCGCCCGU
This 506-nucleotide ribosomal RNA is filed under the name uncultured bacterium. Its description in RNAcentral is "partial 16S ribosomal RNA". It matches the Rfam family "Bacterial small subunit ribosomal RNA", at positions 899 to 1397 of the family's 1533-position model. The record is from RNAcentral.